UCCAUAGGUUAAUGAGGCGAACCGGGGGAACUGAAACAUCUAAGUACCCCGAGGAAAAGAAAUCAACCGAGAUUCCCCCAGUAGCGGCGAGCGAACGGGGAGGAGCCCAGAGCCUGAAUCAGCAUGUGUGUUAGUGGAAGCGUCUGGAAAGGCGCGCGAUACAGGGUGACAGCCCCGUACACAAAAGCGCAUGUGCUGUGAGCUCGAUGAGUAGGGCGGGACACGUGGUAUCCUGUCUGAAUAUGGGGGGACCAUCCUCCAAGGCUAAAUACUCCUGACUGACCGAUAGUGAACCAGUACCGUGAGGGAAAGGCGAAAAGAACCCCGGCGAGGGGAGUGAAAAAGAACCUGAAACCGUGUACGUACAAGCAGUGGGAGCACCCUUUUGGGUGUGACUGCGUACCUUUUGUAUAAUGGGUCAGCGACUUAUAUUCUGUAGCAAGGUUAACCGAAUAGGGGAGCCGGAGGGAAACCGAGUCUUAAUUGGGCGUUAAGUUGCAGGGUAUAGACCCGAAACCCGGUGAUCUAGCCAUGGGCAGGUUGAAGGUUGGGUAACACUAACUGGAGGACCGAACCGACUAAUGUUGAAAAAUUAGCGGAUGACCUGUGGCUGGGGGUGAAAGGCCAAUCAAACCGGGAGAUAGCUGGUUCUCCCCGAAAGCUAUUUAGGUAGCGCCUCGUGAAUUCAUCUCCGGGGGUAGAGCACUGUUUCGGCUAGGGGGCCAUCCCGGCUUACCAACCCGAUGCAAACUGCGAAUACCGGAGAAUGUUAUCACGGGAGACACACGGCGGGUGCUAACGUCCGUCGUGAAGAGGGAAACAACCCAGACCGCCAGCUAAGGUCCCAAAGUCAUGGUUAAGUGGGAAACGAUGUGGGAAGGCCCAGACAGCCAGGAUGUUGGCUUAGAAGCAGCCAUCAUUUAAAGAAAGCGUAAUAGCUCACUGGUCGAGUCGGCCUGCGCGGAAGAUGUAACGGGGCUAAACCAUGCACCGAAGCUGCGGCAGCGAACGUAUCACUUAAAGCGAUUCAGCGGGUUACGAUUGACGGAGCGAAGCGACGUCAAAGCGUAUACAAAGUCGAGU
This 1083-nucleotide ribosomal RNA is filed under the name Salmonella enterica subsp. enterica serovar Kiambu. RNAcentral describes it as "partial 23S ribosomal RNA". It matches the Rfam family "Bacterial large subunit ribosomal RNA", at positions 163 to 1264 of the family's 2925-position model. Lineage: Bacteria; Pseudomonadati; Pseudomonadota; Gammaproteobacteria; Enterobacterales; Enterobacteriaceae. The record is from RNAcentral.